UCGGGAAUUUUGGGCAAUGGGGGAAACCCUGACCCAGCAACGCCGCGUGAAGGAUGAAGUAUUUCGGUAUGUAAACUUCGAAAGAAUAGGAAGAAUAAAUGACGGUACUAUUUAUAAGGUCCGGCUAACUACGUGCCAGCAGCCGCGGUAAUACGUAGGGACCAAGCGUUGUUCGGAUUUACUGGGCGUAAAGGGCGCGUAGGCGGCAUGACAAGUCACUUGUGAAAUCUCUGGGCUUAACCCAGAACGGCCAAGUGAUACUGUCGCGCUAGAGUGCAGAAGGGGCAAUCGGAAUUCUUGGUGUAGCGGUGAAAUGCGUAGAUAUCGGGAGGAACACCUGUGGCGAAGGCGGCCACCUGGUUGGAUACUGACGCUGAGACGCGAAAGCGUGGGGAGCAAACAGGAUUAGAUACCCCAGUAGUCCCUGAGCGGGCUGGCAAGGCGCAU
Molecule: ribosomal RNA, 447 nt
Filed under: uncultured bacterium
Lineage: Bacteria
Description: bacterial SSU rRNA
Rfam family: Bacterial small subunit ribosomal RNA
Source: RNAcentral